RNAcentral lists this ribosomal RNA (253 nucleotides) under uncultured bacterium. RNAcentral's name for it is "partial 16S ribosomal RNA". It matches the Rfam family "Bacterial small subunit ribosomal RNA", at positions 524 to 776 of the family's 1533-position model. The record is from RNAcentral.
UACGGAGGGUGCAAGCGUUAUCCGGAUUCACUGGGUUUAAAGGGUGCGUAGGUGGGCAGGUAAGUCAGUGGUGAAAUCUCUGGGCUUAACCCGGAAACUGCCGUUGAUACUAUCUGUCUUGAAUAUAGUGGAGGUGAGCGGAAUAUGUCAUGUGGCGGUGAAAUGCUUAGAUAUGACAUAGAACAUCGAUUGCGAAGGCAGCUCGCUACACUAUGAUUGACACUGAGGCACGAAAGCGUGGGGAUCAAACAGG